UGUGUCAGGGAGAUAACCCAGAUCAAAAAAGGGAGGGCUGUUCCUUUAAAUUAAAAAGUGAACAAUUCUUGGGAGCAAAAUGGACCAUCCUUUCAUUGAAGAGGCAAUAAAUAUGAUAAGGCGAGACUGGGCCUGUUCAAGCAGAGAUGCUGAAAAUUAAGGAUUAAUUCCCAAGAUGAAGAAAGCAUUGAGAUCAAGGCAAUAUCAACACGAUUUGAUGCCAAGCUGUGUUCCAACUUCAGAGGCAUCACACUCCUCAGUGGUCUGUGCCGGAGUACUGGAGAGGACGGUCUGUCCAUUGGUCGAACCUCAGACCCAGGAGGGGCAAUGCGGAAGACUGGACCAGAAGAUUACCGUCACAAGGAUACUGCUUUGCGGACUUGGA
Non-coding RNA from Paramormyrops kingsleyae, 385 nucleotides. NCBI's taxonomy places the organism in Eukaryota, Metazoa, Chordata, Actinopteri, Osteoglossiformes, Mormyridae. The record is from RefSeq and is a predicted model, not a curated record.